GUCCAGACUCCUACGGGAGGCAGCAGUGGGGAAUAUUGCACAAUGGGGGAAACCCUGAUGCAGCGACGCCGCGUGAGCGAUGAAGUAUUUCGGUAUGUAAAGCUCUAUCAGCAGGGAAGAAAAUGACGGUACCUGACUAAGAAGCCCCGGCUAACUACGUGCCAGCAGCCGCGGUAAUACGUAGGGGGCAAGCGUUAUCCGGAUUUACUGGGUGUAGAGGGAGCGUAGACGGCAAUGCAAGCCAGAUGUGAAAGCCCGGGGCUCAACCCCGGGACUGCAUUUGGAACUGUGUAGCUGGAGUGUCGGAGAGGCAGGCGGAAUUCCUAGUGUAGCGGUGAAAUGCGUAGAUAUUAGGAGGAACACCAGUGGCGAAGGCGGCCUGCUGGACGAUGACUGACGUUGAGGCUCGAAAGCGUGGGGAGCAAACAGGAUUAGAUACCCCUGUA
This 446-nucleotide ribosomal RNA is filed under the name uncultured bacterium. RNAcentral describes it as "bacterial SSU rRNA". It matches the Rfam family "Bacterial small subunit ribosomal RNA", at positions 329 to 792 of the family's 1533-position model. The record is from RNAcentral.